AUUGAACGCUGGCGGCAUGCCUUACACAUGCAAGUCGAACGGUAACAGGUUAAGCUGACGAGUGGCGAACGGGUGAGUAAUAUAUCGGAACGUGCCCAGUCGUGGGGGAUAACGCAGCGAAAGCUGUGCUAAUACCGCAUACGAUCUACGGAUGAAAGCGGGGGAUCGCAAGACCUCGCGCGAUUGGAGCGGCCGAUAUCAGAUUAGCUAGUUGGUGGGGUAAAAGCCCACCAAGGCGACGAUCUGUAGCUGGUUUGAGAGGACGACCAGCCACACUGGAACUGAGACACGGUCCAGACUCCUACGGGAGGCAGCAGUGGGGAAUUUUGGACAAUGGGCGCAAGCCUGAUCCAGCAAUGCCGCGUGCAGGAUGAAGGCCUUCGGGUUGUAAACUGCUUUUGUACGGAACGAAAAGGUYUGCCCUAAUACGGCGGGCUCAUGACGGUACCGUAAGAAUAAGCACCGGCUAACUCUGUG
This 477-nucleotide ribosomal RNA is filed under the name uncultured bacterium. Its description in RNAcentral is "bacterial SSU rRNA". It matches the Rfam family "Bacterial small subunit ribosomal RNA", at positions 30 to 507 of the family's 1533-position model. The record is from RNAcentral.